Peromyscus maniculatus bairdii (prairie deer mouse) is the source of this 4096-nucleotide long non-coding RNA. RefSeq lists it as uncharacterized. Lineage: Eukaryota; Metazoa; Chordata; Mammalia; Rodentia; Cricetidae. The record is from RefSeq and is a predicted model, not a curated record.
UAUGGGUAUUACAUUGGAGAUCAUAAAUAGAUGUUUAUUUUUAGCUCUCUAAGACUAGCACAUUUAUUUCACUUAGCCCCAGAUUCAUUGAACCUGGAGCAAAUUAUGACAAGUUAUUGUGAUGAAGAUGAGGUAACAGCUUCUGACUUGGAGAAGAUUUGUCUAGUGUCUUGAGUUUCCUGUCAGUAUGUCAGGACAUCUAAAGGAAGAAGAGGAGAGGAGGCGUGCAAAGUUCAGCCAUGAGUGUGCCUUCAGUUUCCCUCAUCAGACUGCACUCAAAGGCAUAAGAGAAAGGAAACAAGCGAAAGCGAAGGAAGCCAAACUUCAGGCUUUUGUUCCUUUCCCAGUCGAGAUAGAGCCUGCCAACCACCCAAGCACAUGACCUUAUGAGAGUCACUUAUUUGGAUGUUACCAAGGAGGCUGACCUGGCUGACUAGAAAGCCACAGACUUUCUGUCUGCCUCUCUAGUGCUGGAUGAGCAUAUGCCAUUACUCCUGACUUUUUAAUGUUGCUUCUAAGGCCAAGCUUGGCUCUUCAGACUUGUGUAAAGAUUGUGUUUCUUGGAGAGAGAGAAGCUGGCUCCUCCCACCAGAGAAAUGACUGCCCCAUUGCCGUGCCUUGUGAUCACUGACCUUUGGCGUACCCCAUGCAGCCUCUGAGCUGGGUGUAAUGCGAAGAGCAUCAUAAUGGAAUCCCAAUCCUGGGUAAUGGAGGAUCCUGAGUUCCAAGUCUCUCUCUGUGGGCUACAUGAGAUCUUGUCACAAACAGACAUCAAGAGUUGGUCAUGCAGACAUCAAAUGAAGACACCAAACCAGAUAUGCAGCGACAGUUGCUUUGCUUGGAGAUCACUGUUUAUUAAAUGUGUGCUUCUGAGAUCCCUGGCCUGUGACGGAAUCCUCUGAUAAGCACAAAAGGACAUCCUCAACCACCCAUUGAGACAAGUGAGAAGUUGGGGUCAAUUUCCUCCAGUAACCAACAGUGCUCCAGUGGAGUGAUGUUCAUUAAGGCCCAUGUGUAACUUUGCUGUGGGGUCUUACAAAAAAGCAGCUCAGCUUCCUGACCUUUGGAUCCACAAACCCUACAGAAUCAGUUCAAUGGUUCUUUCAAUGUGUACAGGAAAUGUCUUGGAACAGUGUUUAUCUCUCAAGAUUUUGUUGUACUUUUCUCUGCUUUUCCCACUGAAUAAUUGGUAAACUUCUGUCCAGGUAUAGAGCUCUCUUUCCUUACAUGUAAAUCUAAAUUUCAGUCUCACUAACUACUUAUGCUUUCUCCCUCUUUUCAAUAUUUCUGUGAAAGGGCUUUGGUUGGCUCCCUGAUAGCUUUGAAAAGUUGAAAGGUUACUGUGAGAUACAAAUUGUCAUCCUGCUUGUACAUUAACAAAUCAGACUGUCAUGGUUUCAUGGGUCCUGGCAAAAGACCCAAGAUUCUUAAGUCAGAGACAAAGGGCUAUUUAUUACAGUAAAGCAAGCGGUGUGACCUUCAUGGUGGCAUUUGUUCCCCUCGCCAACCUAUUCAUAGAGAGACCCAUGUAAAAGGGGCCAGGCAAUCUUGUUCACAUGAGAGAGUUUUAAUCAGAGCCAAGAAACCAAGAAUUAGACAGACUUGUAUCUUUUAGCAGGUGCUGCAGGGAAAUGAUGUGAAAUUUAUUACAGAGGAAGCCAUUAUCUUUACUAUGCUGACUACACAAGUCUAUCUUCUGCUCUAGAGAGAAGCGCUCUCUUCCAAGGCUGUUUGCUACACAAAGACCUUUGCAAAGAUCAUCUUCAGCAAAGGUAGUCACGGCCUCUGCCUGUGAGAUAUCUGAACAUGCAGGGAAACAAUCUGUAGAGAGUUACUCCAAAACAAGGUAGGAAAUGAUUUCUAUACUGUAGGUAUCAUAAGACACAAGGGACUUCAAAGAACAUAUAUGAAGCAAAUCUACAAUGUGUAUUAUAUGUGCGUUAACAUGUAUUUUAUUUGCUCAAGCAAAAUCAACUGUGCAGUUACUAAAGUGUCAGGUACAUUUCUUGCACAUCAUCAGGGCGGCAGAUAACUCUAAUGGAGCUCAGGAGCAGCUAGGUUUGUGGAAGGGCUGAUGACAAGGGUAGAAACAUCCAUUGCAAGAAGCAGAGGAAAUUCAGGGAACAGAUGCUGUCAAGAGAAAACAAAUCAAUACCUUACAAAGGUAUUAUUUUCCUCUGUAUUGAUUAACACAAAGAAAUGACAUCUUUCUGGGAAAUUUUUAAAUCCAAAAUUAUGAAGCUACAUUAAUUUUUCUAAAAUAUUAACCUGUUUUUAAAAUAUACAUUUAUUUGUUAUUUUAUGUAUUUUUUAUUUUAUGUAUAUGAAUGUUUGCCUGAAUGUUUGUUUGUGCACCAUGUGAAUGUCUGGGCCCACAGAGGAUAGAAACAGGUAUUGGGUUCCCUGGGACUUAUUAGAGUUACAGAGGGUUUUGAGCCACCAAGGAAUUGAAUCUAUGUCCUCUGGAAAAGCAACCAGUGCUCUUAACCACCCAAUGGAACUGCUAGUUCAGAACUGUAUCAAUCCUUUAAGAAACCAAGUUCAGGGGCUGGAUAACUCUUAACCACAGAUUUGUUGAGAUGUCCUCCCUCCUCCUCUUCCUCUUUCUUCUCCUGCACUUCUUCUUUCCUGUCUUCAUUCCUCCACCUUGUCCUCUUUCAAAUGGUUGCACAAUUUAAAUAAUUGAAGUUGCAUGCCUUUGUUUUCAGUGGAUAUUAGAACUGGGUCUAUAUUUGUUACUUUCUUAUCAGAACAGACCUUAAUUUAGGGAGUUUUUUAAAUCUAACAUAUAAAUACUCUGUAGUGUAGGAAAAUAUUUCACAAAUGCUGAAAACUGAAAGCUUUUCUCAGUUACACACAUACAGAGAAAGAGGGGGUAGGAGGAGGAGAGAAAGAGAGACGGGGAAGAGGAAGAGGGAGAGCGAUUUUGUAACCCUAGUCCCAGAAUUAUAUACACAAGACAAAAUUCAAUGUAUACACAUUGUCUUAAUUGCAAAGCGCUGAUCUAGUUUCCAAUUUGCUUUCUUCUUGGGAAUAAGCAUGAAAAGUUUUCUCCAUUGAUUUCAGUAGACCUAACAAAAAGGCCACUAAAUCAAAUUGUCUGACAUCUCUCACCCAGCAGAGAAUAAAUUAAUUUUUAUGCUUCAGAAAUCAUUAAAUGGUCAGACCAUGAAAUAAAAUGUUUUUUUCUUAUGUUGCCCUAUAUAAAUCAGAAAGUAACUCAGUUAAAACACAGAAAUAAAACCCUAGCAUUGAAAAGUAAAAGUAGGGUAACAUGAAUCAGUAAAACACACAAGGGAAAGAAAUGUAAAUAUGUAUAUAUAUGAAAAAGGAAAUUUACAAUUGUGACAUUAUAUACAAAACCUGUUAAUGCUGUACAGGUCAAGAAUUAAUGAGUGGAUGAACAAAUAAAUAAGCUACACUAUUUGGCUUUAUAAAAUUUUACAUGGAUAAGAGUGGUUGCCUAUUGAAAGCAUAAUUUCAUUUAUGUUGUUAUCAGAAAGAAAUAGCUUGCACUGGUGUAUUUCUGCAAGUUAACAUGAAUCCUUACAAAAUUAUGAGACAAAUCAAGAGUCAGUAGCAAAAGCACUAGCAAGAUGGUAAAUUAAAAAGUAGGUCUUUUCUUACACACACAUACACACACACACACACCAAACACACCCCAAACCACCAAGCAAACAAAAUAACCACCACCACAACAAAAAACAAUUUAGCCAGUGUGAAUGGAUGAAACUGGCUACAGGAGAGCCCUGGAGUCCAUUUAAAAAAAGCUACAAAAAUUUAGUAAUAAAAACAAUCCCAGGGAUAAUUGCAUGGAAGGAGGAGGAACAGCAAUUUCAUUUUACCCCAUGUCAUCCCAUCCACAGAGCAGCAGGACUCAGUGUGGAAAGCAAUGUGCUCAGCUGUGACUUCCCAGGCAGGAGAAAAGAGUAGCAGAGGGAUCCCAGGAACCUUUGUUGCUGAGGAUCCUUAUGGUGUUGCUGAUUCAGAACCUAGCUUUAAAGCUCACACCACUAUGUCCCCUAGAUCCAAAGAUGCUGAAAGCCUCCUCACAACUGUGCCAUUAUGCAGCCCCACUUCUGCAGAUAUGUCCACG